RNAcentral lists this ribosomal RNA (254 nucleotides) under uncultured bacterium. Its description in RNAcentral is "partial 16S ribosomal RNA". It matches the Rfam family "Bacterial small subunit ribosomal RNA", at positions 524 to 776 of the family's 1533-position model. The record is from RNAcentral.
UACGUAGGGUGCGAGCGUUGUCCGGAAUUAUUGGGCGUAAAGAGCUCGUAGGCGGUGUGUCACGUCGGCCGUGAAAACCUGCAGCUUAACUGUGGGCGUGCGGUCGAUACGGGCAUCACUGGAGUUCGGCAGGGGAGACUGGAAUUCCUGGUGUAGCGGUGAAAUGCGCAGAUAUCAGGAGGGACACCGGUGGCGAAGGCGGGUCUCUGGGCCGAUACUGACGCUGAGGAGCGAAAGCGUGGGGAGCAAACAGG